GAUGAAGAACGUAGCGAAAUGCGAUAAGUAAUGUGAAUUGCAGAAUUCAGUGAAUCAUCGAAUCUUUGAACGCAUCUUGCGCUCCUUGGUAUUCUGAGGAGCAUGCCUGUUUGAGUGUCAUUAAAUUCUCAACUACACUGACUUUGAAUUGGUGUGGCUUGGAUUUGGGGGGAAAAUUGUUGUGGGCUUUUUGUAUAGUCUGCUCCCCUGAAAUUGAUUAGCGGUACCUUUGUGGAACUGUCUACAGGUGUGAUAAUUAUCUACAUCUUAGACAUCUGCUGGAAUGCUGCUUUCUAAACCUUACUUGUAUUGACAAUAUUGACCUCAAAUCAGGUAGGACUACCCGCUGAACUUAAGCAUAUCAAUAAGCGGAGGA
Molecule: unclassified non-coding RNA, 376 nt
Filed under: soil metagenome
Description: partial contains 5.8S ribosomal RNA, internal transcribed spacer 2, and large subunit ribosomal RNA
Rfam family: 5.8S ribosomal RNA (bases 1-120)
Source: RNAcentral